CGAGUGGCGAACGGGUGAGUAACACGUGGGUGAUCUGCCCUGCACUUCGGGAUAAGCCUGGGAAACUGGGUCUAAUACCGGAUAGGACGAUGGUUUGGAUGCCAUUGUGGAAAGUUUUUCGGUGUGGGAUGAGCUCGCGGCCUAUCAGCUUGUUGGUGGGGUAAUGGCUCACCAAGGCGAUGACGGGUAGCCGGCCUGAGAGGGCGACCGGCCACACUGGGACUGAGACACGGCCCAG
RNAcentral lists this ribosomal RNA (238 nucleotides) under uncultured Actinomycetales bacterium. RNAcentral describes it as "partial 16S ribosomal RNA". It matches the Rfam family "Bacterial small subunit ribosomal RNA", at positions 92 to 334 of the family's 1533-position model. The record is from RNAcentral. Lineage: Bacteria; Bacillati; Actinomycetota; Actinomycetes; Actinomycetales.